This 462-nucleotide ribosomal RNA is filed under the name uncultured bacterium. RNAcentral's name for it is "partial 16S ribosomal RNA". It matches the Rfam family "Bacterial small subunit ribosomal RNA", at positions 28 to 507 of the family's 1533-position model. The record is from RNAcentral.
GACGAACGCUGGCGGCGUGCUUAACACAUGCAAGUCGAGCGGAAAGGCCCUUCGGGGUACUCGAGCGGCGAACGGGUGAGUAACACGUGAGUAACCUUCCCUAGGCUUUGGGAUAACCCCGGGAAACCGGGGCUAAUACCGGAUAUGACCUGGUGCCGCAUGGUGUUGGGUGGAAAGUUUUUUCGUCCUGGGAUGGGCUCGCGGCCUAUCAGCUUGUUGGUGGGGUGAUGGCCUACCAAGGCGAUGACGGGUAGCCGGCCUGAGAGGGCGACCGGCCACACUGGGACUGAGACACGGCCCAGACUCCUCCGGGAGGCAGCAGUGGGGAAUAUUGCACAAUGGGCGGAAGCCUGAUGCAGCGACGCCGUGUGAGGGAUGAAGGCCUUCGGUUUGUAAACCUCUUUCAGCAGGGACGAAGCGUGAGUGACGGUACCUGCAGAAGGAGCGCCGGCCAACUACGUG